Molecule: ribosomal RNA, 440 nt
Filed under: uncultured bacterium
Lineage: Bacteria
Description: partial 16S ribosomal RNA
Rfam family: Bacterial small subunit ribosomal RNA
Source: RNAcentral
CCUACGGGAGGCAGCAGUGGGGAAUAUUGCACAAUGGGGGAAACCCUGAUGCAGCGACGCCGCGUGAGCGAUGAAGUAUUUCGGAAUGUAAAGCUCUAUCAGCAGGGAAGAAAAUGACGGUAACUGACUAAGAGGCCCCGGCUAACUACGUGCCAGCAGCCGCGGUAAUACGUAGGGGGCAAGCGUUAUCCGGAUUUACUGGGUGUAAAGGGAGCGUAGACGGGGGUGCAAGCCUGAUGUGAAAGCCUGGGGCUCAACCCCGGGACUGCAUUUGAAACUGGGCUGCUAGAGUGUCGGAGAGGCAGGCGGAAUUCCAAGUGUAGCGGUGAAAUGCGUAGAUAUAAGGAGGAACACCAGUGGCGAAGGCGACCUGCUGGACGAUGACUGACGUUGAGGCUCGAAAGCGUGGGGAGCAAACAGGAUUAGAUACCCUAGUAGUC